UACGAAGGGGGCUAGCGUUGCUCGGAAUUACUGGGCGUAAAGCGUGCGUAGACGGUAGCGUAAGUCAGAUGUGAAAGCCCCGGGCUCAACCUGGGAAUUGCAUUUGAGACUGCUCUGCUCGGGUGCGGAAGAGGGAAGCGGAAUUUCCGGUGUAGCGGUGAAAUGCGUAGAUAUCGGAAGGAACACCAGUGGCGAAAGCGGCUUCCUGGUCCGACACCGACGUUCAGGCACGAAAGCGUGGGGAGCAAACAGG
RNAcentral lists this ribosomal RNA (253 nucleotides) under uncultured bacterium. RNAcentral describes it as "partial 16S ribosomal RNA". It matches the Rfam family "Bacterial small subunit ribosomal RNA", at positions 524 to 776 of the family's 1533-position model. The record is from RNAcentral.